UCCGACAAUUAAUGGUUAGUGAGGCCUUCUGACUGGCGCCGCUACUCUGGCAACAGAGCGGCGGAUGCCGGGAAGUUGGUCAAACUUGAUCAUUUAGAGGAAGUAAAAGUCGUAACAAGGUUUCCGUAGGUGAACCUGCGGAAGGAUCAUUACCGAUCGAGGCAUCCAAAACCUGUCAUGGGUUUUCAGUGUGAAUUGUCAAUUUCAUUUUUUAGGGGCCGGCAAAAUGCCGUUAAAGGGGGGGGGGGCGGGGGCAACCCACACGGCCGCCCGUCACCCCCGCCUUGUUUUUUGCCUUCAACUGUUACGGUUUGAAUUGAAGUGGAUACUGAAAAAAAGAAAGACACCUUUGGACGGUGGAUCUCUGGGCUCACGUAUCGUGAAAAACCGCACCCGGCUGCGAUAAGUAUGGUGAAUUGCAAAUUUCAUGGAAUCAUUGAUCUUUGGACGCCAAUGGGGCUCUUUGGGUCUCCCCAGGAGCAUGUCUGUCUGAGUGUCGGGAUAUCUUUACGAAGCGAUCGUGCAUCGAUUUGCUGGAUAUUGAGGUGUCACGGGAGAGUGCGAACCAACUCAAGGCCGUGUCCCCUCGGAAAGAAGGCAGCUGCGGAAGCCGCACGCGCUAUUAUUUUCUGUUAAUAGCGAGUGACCUCUAUGAAAAAGUCAUGGGUUUCAGUGCGUAGGCUAAAAUGCGAAAUUUCUUCCGUGCUACCAUGAUGUAGAGGUUGUUGUGUCCCAGGUUUUGUUCAUGUUUUUGAACCACCAUAAUCUUGACCUUCAGAUCAGGCAAGGCUACCCGCUGAUUUCAGGCAUAUUAAUAGGCGGAGGAAAAGGAACCUAACCAGGAUUCCCUCAGUUACAGCGAGUGAAGCGGGACAGCUCAAUUUUGAAAUCUCGACGCUUGCGUCGGCGAGUGUAGUUGCGAGAGCACUUUCUAGCGAUCGUUGGUGCUUAAGUUGCUGAACAGUACGUCAUAGAGGGUGACACCCGUCUGUGCACGACCGCCGCUCACGAUGUGCUUUCGAGAGUCGAUGCUUGGGACUGCCGCCAAAGGCACCGAACU
Molecule: ribosomal RNA, 1060 nt
Filed under: Porites pukoensis
Lineage: Eukaryota; Metazoa; Cnidaria; Anthozoa; Scleractinia; Poritidae
Description: eukaryotic LSU rRNA
Rfam family: Eukaryotic large subunit ribosomal RNA (bases 770-1060)
Source: RNAcentral